UGGGCCCUGAAUCAAGGCUGUCGGCUUGCUGUAGCCGUUGGUUUCAAACAGGAGCCCAGAGGAAUGCCUUCCUGUGGUCUGUUGGCCGCUUCAGAACCUCAGAAGGGAGCGGCCGAUUCAGAUGGAAGCAACAUGU
RNAcentral lists this small nucleolar RNA (136 nucleotides) under Sphenodon punctatus (tuatara). Lineage: Eukaryota; Metazoa; Chordata; Lepidosauria; Sphenodontia; Sphenodontidae. The record is from RNAcentral.